This 460-nucleotide ribosomal RNA is filed under the name uncultured bacterium. RNAcentral's name for it is "partial 16S ribosomal RNA". It matches the Rfam family "Bacterial small subunit ribosomal RNA", at positions 338 to 795 of the family's 1533-position model. The record is from RNAcentral.
CCUACGGGGGGCAGCAGUGAGGAAUAUUGGUCAAUGGACGCAAGUCUGAACCAGCCAUGCCGCGUGCAGGAAGACGGCUCUAUGAGUUGUAAACUGCUUUUGUACGAGGGUAAACGCAGAUACGCGUAUCUGUCUGAAAGUAUCGUACGAAUAAGGAUCGGCUAACUCCGUGCCAGCAGCCGCGGUAAUACGGAGGAUUCAAGCGUUAUCCGGAUUUAUUGGGUGUAAAGGGUGCGUAGGCGGUCGGAUAAGUUAGAGGUGAAAGCCCGAGGCUCAACUUCGGAAUUGCGUCUGAUACUGUUCGGCUAGAGAGUAGUUGCGGUAGGCGGAAUUUAUGGUGUAGCGGUGAAAUGCUUAGAGAUCAUGCAGAACACCGAUUGCGAAGGCAGCUUACCGGGCUACUUCUGACGUUGAGGCACGAAAGCGUGGGGAGCAAACAGGAUUAGAUACCCGAGUAGUC